GUAGAUUUAAGUUAAGUGAAACUAUUAAUUUUCAAAAUUAAAAAUGGUUAGUCUAUA
Molecule: transfer RNA, 57 nt
Filed under: Angiostrongylus cantonensis (rat lungworm)
Lineage: Eukaryota; Metazoa; Nematoda; Chromadorea; Rhabditida; Metastrongylidae
Description: tRNA-Trp
Source: RNAcentral